GAUGAACGCUAGCUACAGGCUUAACACAUGCAAGUCGAGGGGCAGCAUUUUUAUUGAAGCUUCGGCAGAUUUAGCUUGUUUCCAGUGGCGGACGGGUGAGUAACGCGUGGGUAACCUGCCUCACACUGGGGGAUAACAGUCAGAAAUGACUGCUAAUACCGCAUAAGCGCACGGAACCGCAUGGUUUUGUGUGAAAAAACUCCGGUGGUGUGAGAUGGACCCGCGUUGGAUUAGCCAGUUGGCAGGGUAACGGCCUACCAAAGCGACGAUCCAUAGCCGGCCUGAGAGGGUGAACGGCCACAUUGGGACUGAGACACGGGCCCAGACUCCUACGGGAGGCAGCAGUGGGGAAUAUUGCACAAUGGGGGAAACCCUGAUGCAGCGACGCCGCGU
This 393-nucleotide ribosomal RNA is filed under the name uncultured bacterium. Its description in RNAcentral is "bacterial SSU rRNA". It matches the Rfam family "Bacterial small subunit ribosomal RNA", at positions 28 to 402 of the family's 1533-position model. The record is from RNAcentral.